Molecule: small nuclear RNA, 49 nt
Filed under: Rhipicephalus microplus (southern cattle tick)
Lineage: Eukaryota; Metazoa; Arthropoda; Arachnida; Ixodida; Ixodidae
Source: RNAcentral
GUGUUGCGUAAAAAGAGAGACCGCUAGCACUUUCCUCGAUAAGGAUGAU